GGAUCCUGAGUACGACGGAGCACGUGAAAUUCCGUCGGAAUCUGGGAGGACCAUCUCCUAAGGCUAAAUACUCUCUAGUGACCGAUAGUGAACCAGUACCGUGAGGGAAAGGUGAAAAGCACCCCGGAAGGGGAGUGAAAUAGAACCUGAAACCGUGUGCUUACAAGUAGUCAGAGCCCGUUAAUGGGUGAUGGCGUGCCUUUUGUAGAAUGAACCGGCGAGUUACGAUUUGAUGCAAGGUUAAGCAGUAAAUGUGGAGCCGUAGCGAAAGCGAGUCUGAAUAGGGCGUUUAGUAUUUGGUCGUAGACCCGAAACCAGGUGAUCUACCCUUGGUCAGGUUGAAGUUCAGGUAACACUGAAUGGAGGACCGAACCGACUUACGUUGAAAAGUGAGCGGAUGAACUGAGGGUAGCGGAGAAAUUCCAAUCGAACCUGGAGAUAGCUGGUUCUCUCCGAAAUAGCUUUAGGGCUAGCCUCAAGUGAUGAUUAUUGGAGGUAGAGCACUGUUUGGACGAGGGGCCCCUCUCGGGUUACCGAAUUCAGACAAACUCCGAAUGCCAAUUAAUUU
RNAcentral lists this ribosomal RNA (568 nucleotides) under Staphylococcus aureus. RNAcentral describes it as "partial 23S ribosomal RNA". It matches the Rfam family "Bacterial large subunit ribosomal RNA", at positions 403 to 973 of the family's 2925-position model. Lineage: Bacteria; Bacillati; Bacillota; Bacilli; Caryophanales; Staphylococcaceae. The record is from RNAcentral.